RNAcentral lists this transfer RNA (65 nucleotides) under Dorysthenes paradoxus. RNAcentral describes it as "tRNA-Tyr". Lineage: Eukaryota; Metazoa; Arthropoda; Insecta; Coleoptera; Cerambycidae. The record is from RNAcentral.
GGUAAAGUGGUCGAGUUAGGCAAUAAAUUGUAAAUUUAUUUACGGGAUGUAUUUCUCCUUUACCA